This 459-nucleotide ribosomal RNA is filed under the name uncultured bacterium. RNAcentral's name for it is "partial 16S ribosomal RNA". It matches the Rfam family "Bacterial small subunit ribosomal RNA", at positions 338 to 795 of the family's 1533-position model. The record is from RNAcentral.
CCUACGGGCGGCUGCAGUGAGGAAUAUUGGUCAAUGGGCGCGAGCCUGAACCAGCCAAGUCGCGUGAGGGAAGACGGUCCUAUGGAUUGUAAACCUCUUUUGUCGGGGAGCAAAAGACGCCACGCGUGGCGUUCCGAGAGUACCCGAAGAAAAAGCAUCGGCUAACUCCGUGCCAGCAGCCGCGGUAAUACGGAGGAUGCGAGCGUUAUCCGGAUUUAUUGGGUUUAAAGGGUGCGCAGGCGGAAGAGCAAGUCAGCGGUAAAAUUGAGAGGCUCAACCUCGUCGAGCCGUUGCAACUGGUGUUCUUGAGUGAGUGAGAAGUAUGCGGAAUGCGUGGUGUAGCGGUGAAAUGCAUAGAUAUCACGCAGAACUCCGAUUGCGAAGGCAGCAUACCGGCGCUCAACUGACGCUCAUGCACGAAAGUGUGGGUAUCGAACAGGAUUAGAUACCCCUGUAGUC